Long non-coding RNA from Bos taurus (domestic cattle), 776 nucleotides. The record is from Ensembl. Lineage: Eukaryota; Metazoa; Chordata; Mammalia; Artiodactyla; Bovidae.
GUGCUCCGAGCUCCAGCCGAGUCCCGGGGCCAGGCCCCCGCCUUCACCCACCACGUCUCUCCCUGUGACCUCGCCUUCCCCGUCUGGGAAACGUUCCGACCUCUAAGCUAGGACGCCACCGCGCAGAGCUCUCUUCACUCACUGGCACCUCGAUGUUGCUGGUGGAGCCAGAAAGAGCCUCAGCUUGUCAGCGACUGUCUGCGGGAUUCCUGAGUUCUCCAGCAUCAUCUCCCAGCAAGUUCAGAACAUUCUACAGCUUCAGCAAGAUGUGAAGACUUCCUUUGUCAUCAACUUGUAUAUGUGACUCGGACAGAAAAGAUCCUGAGGGCAGAGGUGAGGAGACCUGCUGAGCAGGGCGGAUGUUUGAGUGGAACUGAGUUUAUAAGUGGCCAGGACAGCAGCAGCAAAUGUGGUCGUGUUUUCACAGCUUUUACAUCCAAUGUGUAUAAUACUCAGCUGCUGGAGCCCGCUGUCAGAAUGAGUUGCAUCACCCCAGGACUGAUCGCAUCUAAGGAACGUCAGGGAAGAUAAAGUUCCACCUUGGCUCAGCCACUGUGGAUCUCUGUGACAGAACCUUGGUCUUAACUCACACACCUUGUCUCUUGGUGGUAAUAACACCUUGAUUUCCUGGGAGGAGCAUUCCUUCCCACUUUAUGCCCACGUGGUUCAGCCGGGGCUGAUACUGCCUCUGGGAUGCACUGAUGCUCCUGUGAUGCAGGUUUAACCAAUCAGAGUGCUCUGUUUCCCUGGCCACAGUAGCUGGCUCAAGGAUGGCC